RNAcentral lists this ribosomal RNA (253 nucleotides) under uncultured bacterium. Its description in RNAcentral is "partial 16S ribosomal RNA". It matches the Rfam family "Bacterial small subunit ribosomal RNA", at positions 524 to 776 of the family's 1533-position model. The record is from RNAcentral.
UACGAAGGGGGCUAGCGUUGUUCGGAAUUACUGGGCGUAAAGGGCGCGUAGGCGGCUUCGAUAGUCGGGUGUGAAAUGCCUGGGCUCAACCCAGGAAUUGCACUCGAAACUCCGAGGCUUGAGUGUGGGAGAGGUUGGUGGAAUUCCCAGUGUAGAGGUGAAAUUCGUAGAUAUUGGGAAGAACACCGGUGGCGAAGGCGGCCAACUGGACCACAACUGACGCUGAGGCGCGAAAGCGUGGGGAGCAAACAGG